Molecule: ribosomal RNA, 237 nt
Filed under: uncultured bacterium
Lineage: Bacteria
Description: partial 16S ribosomal RNA
Rfam family: Bacterial small subunit ribosomal RNA
Source: RNAcentral
CGGGUGAGUAUCACGUGAGUUAUCCACCCUCAGUACCGGGAUAGCCCGAGGAAACUCGGAUUAAUACCGGAUGGCCCAACAGUUCUUCGGGACGGUUGGAAAAGGUAGCUUCGGCCUCCGACUGGGGACGAGCUCGCGGCGGAUUAGCUUGUUGGUGGGGUAAUGGCCUACCAAGGCGACGAUCCGUAGCUGGUCUGAGAGGACGAUCAGCCACACUGGGACUGAGACACGGCCCAG